UGGGGAAUAUUGCACAAUGGGGGAAACCCUGAUGCAGCGACGCCGCGUGAGCGAAGAAGGUUUUCGAAUCGUAAAGCUCUGUCCUAUGAGAAGAUAAUGACGGUAUCAUAGGAGGAAGCCCCGGCUAAAUACGUGCCAGCAGCCGCGGUAAUACGUAUGGGGCGAGCGUUGUCCGGAAUUAUUGGGUUUAAAGGGAGCGUAGGCUGUUUGUUAAGCGUGUUGUGAAAUGUAAGAGCUCAACUUUUAGAUUGCAGCGCGAACUGGCAGACUUGAGUGCGCACAACGUAGGCGGAAUUCAUGGUGUAGCGGUGAAAUGCUUAGAUAUCAUGACGAACUCCGAUUGCGAAGGCAGCUUACGGGAGCGCAACUGACGCUAAAGCUCGAAGGUGCGGGUAUCGAACAGG
This 404-nucleotide ribosomal RNA is filed under the name Verrucomicrobiota bacterium. RNAcentral describes it as "Verrucomicrobia bacterium partial 16S ribosomal RNA". It matches the Rfam family "Bacterial small subunit ribosomal RNA", at positions 355 to 776 of the family's 1533-position model. The record is from RNAcentral. Lineage: Bacteria; Pseudomonadati; Verrucomicrobiota.